AGGACGAACGCUGGCGGCGUGCUUAACACAUGCAAGUCGAGCGGAAAGGCCCUUCGGGGUACUCGAGCGGCGAACGGGUGAGUAACACGUGAGCAAUCUGCCCUUAGCUUCGGGAUAGCCCCGGGAAACCGGGAUUAAUACCGAAUACGACCUCGGCCGACAUCGGCUUUGGUGGAAAGUUUUUCGGCUAGGGAUGAACUCGCGGCCUAUCAGCUUGUUGGUGGGGUAAUGGCCUACCAAGGCGACGACGGGGUAGCCGGCCUGAGAGGGCGACCGGCCACACUGGGACUGAGACACGGCCCAGACUCCUACGGGAGGCAGCAGUGGGGAAUAUGCGCAAUGGGCGAAAGCCUGACGCAGCGACGCCGCGUGGGGGAUGAAGGCCUUCGGGUUGUAAACCCCUUUCAGCAGGGACGAAGCGAGAGUGACGGUACCUGCAGAAGAAGCGCGGCUAACUACGCGCCAGCAGCCGC
This 473-nucleotide ribosomal RNA is filed under the name uncultured bacterium. RNAcentral describes it as "SSU rRNA". It matches the Rfam family "Bacterial small subunit ribosomal RNA", at positions 26 to 518 of the family's 1533-position model. The record is from RNAcentral.